UACGAAGGGGGCUAGCGUUGCUCGGAAUCACUGGGCGUAAAGGGGGCGUAGGCGGGUCUUUAAGUCAGGGGUGAAAUCCUGGAGCUCAACUCCAGAACUGCCUUUGAUACUGAAGAUCUUGAGUUCGGGAGAGGUGAGUGGAACUGCGAGUGUAGAGGUGAAAUUCGUAGAUAUUCGCAAGAACACCAGUGGCGAAGGCGGCUCACUGGCCCGAUACUGACGCUGAGGCACGAAAGCGUGGGGAGCAAACAGG
Molecule: ribosomal RNA, 253 nt
Filed under: uncultured bacterium
Lineage: Bacteria
Description: partial 16S ribosomal RNA
Rfam family: Bacterial small subunit ribosomal RNA
Source: RNAcentral